RNAcentral lists this ribosomal RNA (253 nucleotides) under uncultured bacterium. RNAcentral describes it as "partial 16S ribosomal RNA". It matches the Rfam family "Bacterial small subunit ribosomal RNA", at positions 524 to 776 of the family's 1533-position model. The record is from RNAcentral.
UACGUAGGGUGCGAGCGUUGUCCGGAAUUAUUGGGCGUAAAGAGCGCGCAGGCGGUCGUUCAAGUCGAGUGUGAAAGCCCCCGGCUCAACUGGGGAGGGUCACUCGAUACUGAUCGACUCGAAGGCAGGAGAGGGAAGUGGAAUUCCCGGUGUAGUGGUGAAAUGCGUAGAUAUCGGGAGGAACACCGAUGGCGAAGGCAGGUCUCUGGGCCGAUACUGACGCUGAGGAGCGAAAGCGUGGGGAGCGAACAGG